RNAcentral lists this ribosomal RNA (733 nucleotides) under uncultured bacterium. Its description in RNAcentral is "bacterial SSU rRNA". It matches the Rfam family "Bacterial small subunit ribosomal RNA", at positions 771 to 1501 of the family's 1533-position model. The record is from RNAcentral.
AACAGGAUUAGAUACCCUGGUAGUCCACGCCGCAAACGUUGGGCGCUAGAUGUAGGGACCUUUCCACGGUUUCUGUGUCGUAGCUAACGCAUUAAGCGCCCCGCCUGGGGAGUACGGCCGCAAGGCUAAAACUCAAAGGAAUUGACGGGGGCCCGCACAAGCGGCGGAGCAUGCGGAUUAAUUCGAUGCAACGCGAAAAACCUUACCAAGGCUUGACAUACACCGGAAACGGCCAGAGAUGGUCGCCCCCUUGUGGUCGGUGUACAGGUGGUGCAUGGUUGUCGUCAGCUCGUGUCGUGAGAUGUUGGGUUAAGUCCCGCAACGAGCGCAACCCUCGUUCUAUGUUGCCAGCGCGUUAUGGCGGGGACUCAUAGGAGACUGCCGGGGUCAACUCGGAGGAAGGUGGGGAUGACGUCAAAUCAUCAUGCCCCUUAUGUCUUGGGCUUCACGCAUGCUACAAUGGCCGGUACAAAGGGCUGCGAUACCGUAAGGUGGAGCGAAUCCCAAAAAGCCGGUCUCAGUUCGGAUUGAGGUCUGCAACUCGACCUCAUGAAGUCGGAGUCGCUAGUAAUCGCAGAUCAGCAACGCUGCGGUGAAUACGUUCCCGGGCCUUGUACACACCGCCCGUCAAGUCAUGAAAGUCGGUAACACCCGAAGCCGGUGGCCUAACCCUUGUGGAAGGAGCCGUCGAAGGUGGGAUCGGUGAUUAGGACUAAGUCGUAACAAGGUAACC